RNAcentral lists this ribosomal RNA (301 nucleotides) under uncultured bacterium. RNAcentral describes it as "partial 16S ribosomal RNA". It matches the Rfam family "Bacterial small subunit ribosomal RNA", at positions 509 to 807 of the family's 1533-position model. The record is from RNAcentral.
CAGUCGCCGCGGGAAUACGGAGGGAGCUAGCGUUGUUCGGAAUCACUGGGCGUAAAGCGCACGUAGGCGGCUAUUCAAGUCAGGGGUGAAAGCCCGGGGCUCAACCCCGGAACUGCCUUUGAAACUAGAUAGCUUGAAUCUUGGAGAGGCGAGUGGAAUUCCGAGUGUAGAGGUGAAAUUCGUAGAUAUUCGGAAGAACACCAGUGGCGAAGGCGACUCGCUGGACAAGUAUUGACGCUGAGGUGCGAAAGCGUGGGGAGCAAACAGGAUUAGAUACCCCCGUAGUCCCUGUCUCUUAUAC